AGAGUUUGAUCAUGGCUCAGGAUGAACGCUAGCGGGAGGCUUAACACAUGCAAGUCGAGGGGCAGCACGGGGUAGCAAUACUCUGGUGGCGACCGGCGCACGGGUGAGUAACACGUAUGCAACCUACCCUGUACAGGGGGAUAACCCGGAGAAAUUCGGACUAAUAUCCCAUGAUGAUAUUUAGGGGCAUCCUUAGAUAUUUAAAGCUCCGGCGGUACGGGAUGGGCAUGCGGAACAUUAGCUAGUUGGCAGGGUAACGGCCUACCAAGGCAACGAUGUUUAGGGGACCUGAGAGGGUGAUCCCCCACACUGGUACUGAGACACGGACCAGACUCCUACGGGAGGCAGCAGUGAGGAAUAUUGGUCAAUGGGCGCAAGCCUGAACCAGCCAUCCCGCGUGCAGGAAGACGGCCCUAUGGGUUGUAAACUGCUUUUCCGGGGGGAGAAUUUUUCCGUCGUGACGGGAAUUGACGGUACCCCGGGAAUAAGCAUCGGCUAACUCCGUGCCAGCAGCCGCGGUAAUACGGAGGAUGCGAGCGUUACCCGGAUUUAUUGGGUUUAAAGGGUGCGUAGGCGGAAUGAUAAGUCAGUGGUGAAAACCUGCAGCUUAACUGUAGACUUGCCGUUGAUACUGUCAGUCUUGAGUGUGGUCAAGGUAGGCGGAAUGUGUAAUGUAGCGGUGAAAUGCUUAGAUAUUACACAGAACACCGAUUGCGAAGGCAGCUUACUGGGCCAUUACUGACGCUGAUGCACGAAAGCGUGGGGAUCGAACAGGAUUAGAUACCCUGGUAGUCCACGCCGUAAACGAUGAUCACUCGCUGUUAGCGAUACACAGUUAGCGGCUAAGCAAAAGCAUUAAGUGAUCCACCUGGGGAGUACGGCCGCAAGGCUGAAACUCAAUGAAUUGACGG
Molecule: ribosomal RNA, 911 nt
Filed under: uncultured bacterium
Lineage: Bacteria
Description: bacterial SSU rRNA
Rfam family: Bacterial small subunit ribosomal RNA
Source: RNAcentral